GACGGACGCUGGCGGCGUGCUUAACACAUGCAAGUCGAACGGAAAGGCCCUGCUUUUGUGGGGUGCUCGAGUGGCGAACGGGUGAGUAACACGUGAGUAACCUGCCCUUGACUUUGGGAUAACUUCAGGAAACUGGGGCUAAUACCGGAUAGGAGCUCCUGCUGCAUGGUGGGGGUUGGAAAGUUUCGGCGGUUGGGGAUGGACUCGCGGCUUAUCAGCUUGUUGGUGGGGUAGUGGCUUACCAAGGCUUUGACGGGUAGCCGGCCUGAGAGGGUGACCGGCCACAUUGGGACUGAGAUACGGCCCAGACUCCUACGGGAGGCAGCAGUGGGGAAUAUUGCACAAUGGGCGGAAGCCUGAUGCAGCAACGCCGCGUGCGGGAUGAUGGCCUUCGGGUUGUAAACCGCUUUCGCCUGUGACGAAGCGUGAGUGACGGUAAUGGGUAAAGAAGCACCGGCUAACUACGUG
This 468-nucleotide ribosomal RNA is filed under the name uncultured bacterium. RNAcentral describes it as "partial 16S ribosomal RNA". It matches the Rfam family "Bacterial small subunit ribosomal RNA", at positions 28 to 507 of the family's 1533-position model. The record is from RNAcentral.